This 432-nucleotide ribosomal RNA is filed under the name uncultured bacterium. RNAcentral's name for it is "partial 16S ribosomal RNA". It matches the Rfam family "Bacterial small subunit ribosomal RNA", at positions 29 to 506 of the family's 1533-position model. The record is from RNAcentral.
AACGAACGCUGGCGGCAUGCCUAACACAUGCAAGUCGAACGAGACCUUCGGGUCUAGUGGCGCACGGGUGUGUAACGCGGGGGAACCUGCCCUUAGGUUCGGAAUAACUCCCCGAAAGGGGUGCUAAUACCGGAUAAUGUCCUCGGACCAAAGAUUUAUCGCCUUUGGAUGGGCCCGCGUUGGAUUAGCUAGUUGGUAGGGUAAAAGCCUACCAAGGCGACGAUCCAUAGCUGGUCUGAGAGGAUGAUCAGCCACACUGGGACUGAGACACGGCCCAGACUCCUGCGGGAGGCAGCAGUGGUGAAUAUUGGACAAUGGGCGAAAGCCUGAUCCAGCAAUGCCGCGUGAGUGAUGAAGGGCUUAGGGUUGUAAAGCUCUUUUACCCGGGAUGAUAAUAACGGUACCGGGGGAAUAAGCUCCGGCUAACUCCGU